UGAACGCUGGCGGUAGGCCUAACACAUGCCAGUCGCACGGCAGCACAGUAAGAGCUUGCUCUUACGGGUGGCGAGUGGCGGACGGGUGAGGAAUACAUCGGAAUCUACUUUUUCGUGGGGGAUAACGUAGGGAAACUUACGCUAAUACCGCAUACGACCUACGGGUGAAAGCAGGGGAUCUUCGGACCUUGCGCGAUUGAAUGAGCCGAUGUCGGAUUAGCUAGUUGGCGGGGUAAAGGCCCACCAAGGCGACGAUCCGUAGCUGGUCUGAGAGGAUGAUCAGCCACACUGGAACUGAGACACGGUCCAGACUCCUACGGGAGGCAGCAGUGGGGAAUAUUGGACAAUGGGCGCAAGCCUGAUCCAGCCAUACCGCGUGGGUGAAGAAGGCCUUCGGGUUGUAAAGCCCUUUUGUUGGGAAAGAAAAGCAGCAGGUUAAUACCCCGCUGUUCUGACGGUACCCAAAGAAUAAGCACCGGCUAACUUCGUG
This 490-nucleotide ribosomal RNA is filed under the name uncultured bacterium. Its description in RNAcentral is "partial 16S ribosomal RNA". It matches the Rfam family "Bacterial small subunit ribosomal RNA", at positions 30 to 507 of the family's 1533-position model. The record is from RNAcentral.